Molecule: transfer RNA, 72 nt
Filed under: candidate division CPR3 bacterium
Lineage: Bacteria; candidate division CPR3
Description: tRNA-Met
Rfam family: tRNA
About the family: Transfer RNA (tRNA) molecules are approximately 80 nucleotides in length. Their secondary structure includes four short double-helical elements and three loops (D, anti-codon, and T loops).
Source: RNAcentral
UGCGGGGUGGAGCAGUGGUAGCUUGUCAGGCUCAUAACCUGAAGGUCGCUGGUUCGAAUCCAGCCCCCGCAA